CACUCACUUUCCUUUUCCCCGUCUUGUGUGUAUCAAUUUGUCGACGGUUUCUACUGUUCCUAUCAUCUACAUCGUCGUCAACAUCCACAAGAAUAACACCAUCUGUAUAAUCAUCAUCAUUAAAUUCCAUAUCUAUAUCAUCCUCACCCUCGAAAUUGUCAUCAUCAUAAUCAUCCAUAUCCUCUUCAUUUUCAUCAUCUGUACCAGCACCCGUGGUAUGGAACUCGGGAGGUGGAGGACAAUCCUCUGUUUCUGCCUUGUCCCGCUUCAUCACAAGAUGUCGAAUGACUCUCUCAUCUUUGUCAAGCAUGCUCUUGAAAUCAUUAAUCCAUUUGGCUUCCAACUCAAAAUUCAUCAAAAUGUAAUGAGCUCGUGAUGCUUUCUGAAUCUUAUAUGCCAGUCUACGCAUACCCCAAUCACUGAAUCUCCACAACCUCCCUUUCUUCUCUUUCAAAAAUUCUUGAACAUUAGCAUUCACACUCUCAACCUCAUCUUCACGAUCCUCAUGAAUCAGAUACACCACUUCAUAGUGUCGCAUCUGUUCCACAUUCAGAUCACUUUCCAACUGCAGAUUUAGAGCCUCAAACAGUUCCUCCUCUUCAGCAUCUGCAAACUCAGGUACAAGUCUACCAUCUUCUUGGACCUUCCUCUCUCUAAGGAGCACAGCUUCGGGAAAAGGACCAGUGGCUUCAUCAGGUUUAGGAAUAAAGCUGUGGGAGUCAGAUUUCUUCUUCUUCUUGUUUGAUGCUGAAACAAUAACAGAGGGAAUUCGGUUGUUCUUGUGGGGAAAAUAUAGGAAGAAAGAAGGGUGCCCACUUGCUGAAACUGAAGGAUAACAUUUACAAGAAGAGGAGGAAGAGGAGCUGAGCAACUUCCCGAUAUCAGGUGAAGAGGUAAGAAGGAGGGACUCCAUUUUUGGUGAAGGAGCAGAGGGGAUAG
Molecule: unclassified non-coding RNA, 939 nt
Filed under: Hevea brasiliensis (rubber tree)
Lineage: Eukaryota; Viridiplantae; Streptophyta; Magnoliopsida; Malpighiales; Euphorbiaceae
Source: RNAcentral